AGCCGAGAUCGUGCCACUGCACUCCAGCCUGGGCGCCAGAGCGAGACUCUGUCUCAAAGAAAACAACAACAAAAUAAAAAAGAAAAGAAAAAGGAUUUCCUCUAGCAGCAACCAAUGAAAGAUGAGGCGAGGCUUGAAUGGAGCCCGUGGGUCGUCCUGCCUUAGCGUCUGAGUUCAGCUUGUGAAGUUAGUGGGCCGCAGAGGGCACUGCCUUCAUUCUGCUAAGAUGAAAAGGGCUGGUGGGAUCUUCGCAAGAGAGUCAGGGACUCACACUCAGCAAAAAGCGUUAGAGCCGAUUUUAAUGUGCGACCUUGACCUGCAUCUGUCAUGGAAAUUCCUUCCUCCUUUCCUUUGUUCCUCCCUCCCCCCCGCCUUUUUUUUUUUUUUUGGCAGAUGUACAGUUUGUUUAUAAUCACUGCGUAUGUCUUCUGCACACAGAAAGUAUGAAGUCUGAAGUUCCCACUUAAAGUUGAAAACUCGACGGCUGGGCACAGUGGCUCACACCUGUAAUCCCAGCACUUUGGGAGGCCAAGGGGGGUGAAUCACAAGGUCAGGAGAUCCAGACCAUCCUGGCUGACAUGGUGAAGCCCUGUCUCUACUAAAAAUACAAAAAUUAGCUGGGUGUGGUGGCACACACCUGUAAUCCCAGCUACUCGGGAGGCUGAGGCACGAGAAUCGCUUGAACCCAGGAGGUGGAGGUUGCAAUGGGCCGAGAUUGCACCACUGCACUCCAGCCUAGAUGACAGAGUGAGACUCCAUCUCAAAAAAAAAAAAAAAAAAAAAA
This 784-nucleotide small RNA is filed under the name Pan troglodytes (chimpanzee). Its description in RNAcentral is "processed transcript". The record is from RNAcentral. Lineage: Eukaryota; Metazoa; Chordata; Mammalia; Primates; Hominidae.